GUUAAAAGUUAAAUAAUAUUGUUUAUCAUUAGACGAAGAUAUCAAUCAAAUGCAAGAAAUACACGCGGAACAUUAUAGUAAUUAUAGUAAUGAGAAUUCUGUUUUAAAAGAUUCGAAAAUAAAAUAUGAACCUAGAUUAGAUAAACACAUUAUUUCAUGUCAACAAUGAUAAGAUUUUGGGAAACAUAGCCAUAUGAGUGCAUUGUACUCGUAAAGUAUGUGCGUAACAUUUAAUAAACCGCGCCGAUUUGAACAAAGUGACAACAUUUGUAGACUGAUUGCUUUAUUGAUGCGUCGCGAUUGGCCAAUUGUUGACGGACGUGAAUCUCACGUAAGUGUUUUUCGGCAGCACGUAGUUGAUCGCGCAAUAACCGGUGCUAUUGUCGAUCUAGGCUGACGAUCUUUUCAACGCAUUUUACUUUCUUUCUUCUUCUAUUUCAAGGCAAAGAAGGCUCGGCUGGUCCGACCCGUGACGACCAAUCACCGAGUUCCUCCUCGCGCGAAAACAUCGCGUGGUUUCUCUACCUCGCACGCACACAAUUAUCGUCGAGUGCGUGCUUAAUGUACAGAGUGACGUAAGCGUUCGUGAUCAUGUACAACUUUAUGUUGAUCUUAUAUAAAUAAUAUUGAAUUUAAAAAUACGAAUAUAAAUACAAUUUAAGUUUUAUUUUACUGCAAAAGAGUGGGUAAAGAAGGGAGAGAGAAGGGGAGAGAAAGAGAAAGGGAGAGAUUGCUGAGAAAUGCGCGUCACGAGAAAUUGGUAUCAUUAUGUUGCAAUAUAAUGAUUAUUUAAGGAUAAUUACUAAUAUUACUUGAGGAUAUUUAAUAUUAAGUAAUAUUCAAGGAUAUUUAAGUAAAAAGAGAUUUCAUGAUAAGUGAUUUUAUCGCACUUGGUUUUCCCCGCUCCUCUGUUGCAAAUCAAAAACAUCUACGAAGCAUGCGUCUUUUUCAGACACCCUGUACGGCGAACAUAUAUUGUCAGACAGUUUCCGUCACGACGAUAAACUGCGGACCACGCUCGCUUACGGUUCAGUUUGUUUCACCGCUCGUAAACGUUGGGUGUAUUCACACGUUUCUCCAGUUGUAUGAACGCCAGUCACACACAUACGCUCCGUUACAUAUUGCGUCCGCGGUGCCAGGUCCAUGGCCAAACGAAUUCACCUGGAUGAAGGCCAGCCGUCUACCUCGCCCGGAUAUUCUACUUUUGUGUCGUUGAAUGUCGGUCACGCGAAGUCAUUUCGAUCUCAAAACAGCAGGUCACGAGACUCGCUGUUUUCUCUCGUUUCCGCGAUAGUAUGCCGUGAGAUCAUCAACAAUGCGCGAUGUUAUGACUAUGAUGAGAAUGGUUUCAGAAUACAUGAAAAUAAAGUGAAAUUAAUAAGUGAGAUGAAUCAAAGUAAACCAUGCGCGAAAACUUGAGCAAUUAUAUUACACUUAUAUUCAGAAUUGAGAAAAAUAUUGGUAAAAGAGCACUUUAUAUUUAAAUAUAGAAAAUAAAAAUCAGCUGUUUUAGACUUUAUCACUUUUUAAAGAAAUAAAACAAUCAACCGUACACUUGGUAGAUAGCUAACGGAGAUCCAAACACGACUAAUGAGAUUUUUGCAAUUUUAAUAUUAAAAAGUUAUUAUCAUCAUGAUUGCGAUUUGAGAAGUUGAUUUCUUAGGAAUUUAUUGCGUACGCAAGUUAUUAUUAUCUUCAGAAUUUUCGCAAAACUCGAUUUUAAAGGCAAUCUAAUCGUUAUUAUAUGACGUUUAUUACAGAUUUAUAAAAUCGUACACAGAGGAAUCACAAAUUCAAAUGUUAUUUUACGAUGGAGCUACUUUCGCUGCAACAGCUCGUUCUUCGUUUCUCUCAUGUGGACGUGUGUGGACUGCGUACGCAUUAUGUAAAUGUACGUCGAACCAAAUUAUGUAAUGCACGUGUUACGAAUAAAGUAUCGAGACACUGUUGACUAAAUCAUCAGACAUUGCUCGAAUCCGCUGCUGGUGAUAAUCUCCGCGCAAAUGAUAACAAUACGAAUUAUCGAUGAUUAGUCACGAGAAAUACCGGCGACACGGUUAAUUACUGAUGCGUGUUUGCCGAAUGAUCGUACGGGGCAAUGGUCAAAUGAAUUAAUUUCAUACUCUCGACAAAGACAUUUUAAUUGUAGUCAUUAUUUGCAAUGUACUGUGGAUCAUGAUUUUCGUUUCUUCGUUUAAUGAAUACUAACAUUGAUACACAGGUACAUAAUUCUACCGAGUUUUGGGAAGACACGGGUUUGAGAGUUAAAGUCCGCAAAAAGAAGAUUAUGUAGUAGUUUAAUAAAAUCAUUGCUUCGUUAAAUAAAAUAAGGUUUCGUAAGUUGUAUUUGCAUCAGUAAGACGAAAGACUUAUUGACACGAAUCGCUUCGUUAUAUUUGUUUUUCACGUUACUAUAAAAGUGUGACUUUUAUUAACAUUGAACGUUGAGAAUGUACAUUAAAAAUAAAAAUUAUAUAUAU
RNAcentral lists this long non-coding RNA (2480 nucleotides) under Ooceraea biroi (clonal raider ant). RNAcentral's name for it is "uncharacterized LOC109610794". Lineage: Eukaryota; Metazoa; Arthropoda; Insecta; Hymenoptera; Formicidae. The record is from RNAcentral.